GUUAAAGUUAAUGUGUUAUCACUUAAGUUUACUCAUCACUAAGGUUACUUGCCCCCUAAGUUUCUAAGGUUACUUGCCCCCUAAGUUGCUAGGUUACUUGCCCCCUAAGUUUCUUUCAAGUCUAUAUAAAGGCUUUGUAAUCAAAAGUUUAAGCAUCAAGAAAAACUAUCUAUUUCUCCUCAA
Long non-coding RNA from Zingiber officinale, 183 nucleotides. RefSeq lists it as uncharacterized. The transcript is spliced from 2 exons. NCBI's taxonomy places the organism in Eukaryota, Viridiplantae, Streptophyta, Magnoliopsida, Zingiberales, Zingiberaceae. The record is from RefSeq and is a predicted model, not a curated record.